Molecule: ribosomal RNA, 520 nt
Filed under: uncultured Glomeromycotina
Lineage: Eukaryota; Fungi; Glomeromycota
Description: SSU rRNA
Rfam family: Eukaryotic small subunit ribosomal RNA
Source: RNAcentral
AGCAGCCGCGGUAAUUCCAGCUCCAAUAGCGUAUAUUAAAGUUGUUGCAGUUAAAAAGCUCGUAGUUGAAUUUCGGGAUUAGUGCGCUGGUCAUGCCUUUGGUAUGUACUGGUGUUACUGGUUCCUACCUUCUGAAGAACCGUUAUGUCAUUCAUUUGGUGUGGCGGGGAAUCAGGACUGUUACUUUGAAAAAUUAGAGUGUUUAAAGCAGGCUCGCGCUUGAAUACAUUAGCAUGGAAUAAUGAAAUAGGACGUUUGACCCUAUUUUGUUGGUUUCUAGGAUCGACGUAAUGAUUAAUAGGGAUAGUUGGGGGCAUUAGUAUUCAAUUGUCAGAGGUGAAAUUCUUGGAUUUAUUGAAGACUAACUACUGCGAAAGCAUUUGCCAAGGAUGUUUUCAUUAAUCAAGAACGAAAGUUAGGGGAUCGAAGACGAUCAGAUACCGUCGUAGUCUUAACCAUAAACUAUGCCGACUAGGGAUCGGAUGAUGUUAUUUUAAUGACUCAUUCGGCGCCUUACGGG